This 79-nucleotide transfer RNA is filed under the name Ipomoea nil (Japanese morning glory). It matches the Rfam family "tRNA". From Rfam's summary of the family: Transfer RNA (tRNA) molecules are approximately 80 nucleotides in length. Lineage: Eukaryota; Viridiplantae; Streptophyta; Magnoliopsida; Solanales; Convolvulaceae. The record is from Rfam by way of RNAcentral.
GUUGAGAUGGCCGAGUUGGUCUAAGGCGCCAGAUUAAGGUUCUGGUCCGGAAGGGUGGGUUCAAAUCCCACUCUCAACA